Molecule: ribosomal RNA, 442 nt
Filed under: uncultured bacterium
Lineage: Bacteria
Description: partial 16S ribosomal RNA
Rfam family: Bacterial small subunit ribosomal RNA
Source: RNAcentral
CUACGGGAUGCAGCAGUGGGGAAUAUUGGGCAAUGGGCGCAAGCCUGACCCAGCAACGCCGCGUGAGGGAAGAAGGUUCUCGGAUUGUAAACCUCUGUCCUUGGGGACGAAGAAAGUGACGGUACCCAAGGAGGAAGCUCCGGCUAACUACGUGCCAGCAGCCGCGGUAAUACGUAGGGAGCAAGCGUUGUCCGGAAUUACUGGGCGUAAAGGGUGCGUAGGCGGCAUAUUAAGUCAGGUGUGAAAUAUUCGGGCUCAACCCGAAGGGUGCAUUUGAAACUGGUAUGCUUGAGUGUGAGAGAGGAAAGUGGAAUUCCUAGUGUAGCGGUGAAAUGCGUAGAUAUUAGGAGGAACACCAGUGGCGAAGGCGACUUUCUGGCUCAUAACUGACGCUGAGGCACGAAAGCGUGGGUAGCAAACAGGAUUAGAUACCCGCGUAGUC